CGGGCCGUGGCGCAGCUUGGGAGCGCACCAGAAUGGGGUUCUGGGGGUCGUGGGUUCAAAUCCCACCGGUCCGACCA
RNAcentral lists this transfer RNA (77 nucleotides) under Bacillota bacterium. RNAcentral describes it as "Firmicutes bacterium (sediment metagenome) tRNA-Pro". It matches the Rfam family "tRNA". From Rfam's summary of the family: Transfer RNA (tRNA) molecules are approximately 80 nucleotides in length. The record is from RNAcentral. Lineage: Bacteria; Bacillati; Bacillota. RNAcentral also lists the same sequence under 2 other names.